This 21-nucleotide non-coding RNA is filed under the name Caenorhabditis elegans. Lineage: Eukaryota; Metazoa; Nematoda; Chromadorea; Rhabditida; Rhabditidae. The record is from RNAcentral.
UCUCAAGGAGAAUUCAAUUUC